Rosa rugosa (rugosa rose) is the source of this 1039-nucleotide long non-coding RNA. RefSeq lists it as uncharacterized. The record is from RefSeq and is a predicted model, not a curated record. NCBI's taxonomy places the organism in Eukaryota, Viridiplantae, Streptophyta, Magnoliopsida, Rosales, Rosaceae. The transcript is spliced from 5 exons.
AGGCUUCUUCUUCUUUUUCUUUUUCUUUAAAGUUUGCUCUUAUAAUUGCUUGACGUGGCUAGAGUUUAGAAAGACACCAAACUAGUUUACCUUUUGGCUAUUCAAACAUUGUUCUUAUCUGAACUUGUAAAGGGAGGGUGCUGGAGCUUUUAGGAGUGGGUAGAGAACUUGCUUUGGACAGGAAAUUAGGUCGGAGAAGAGAAUAAACGAUAAGAAUUGAGUUUGGUUUGGGUAUUGACGAAACUAUGGGGAGAUCAAUAUUUUUGGUUUCUCAACGGAUUUUGAAGGACCUAUUUUGUGGUUAGAGGACCUAUUUUGUACCAGGUGAAAGUCUUACCAAAAGAAGCUACCAACUAGAUUGCAAGCAUGCUGAUAUCACUGGAGGAAAAAUUUAGAAAGUAAAGUUCCAGAUAUUGCAAAAUCUGGAUUUACAUCGGCAUGGUUGCCGCCAUCAACUCAUUCCUUUGCCCCAGAAGGUUACCUCCUUCAGAACAUAUAUUCCCUCAAUUCUAAAUAUGGAUCUGAGCGCCAAUUAAGAGGUUUACUAAAAAAAAUUGGGUUACCUCCCUCAGAACAUAUAUUCCAUCAAAUUGGGUUUAUUUAUUUACAGCUUACUCUGUUUUGUGUUUCCGAAUAUUCAAUUAGUUAUGCAACUAAAUAUGUGAAGGAGUAUAUUGAAGGAGCAAAACCAAUUUUUUCCGCUGGGGAGUAUUGAGAUUCUUGCAACUACAAUGGUCAUGGUUUGGACUACAACCAAGGAAGCUGUCAAGGGACAAUUAUGGAGCUUACGUGAUCCCCAGGGGAAGCCACCAGGUGUAAUGCAGUAGUACAACUAGCUAGUUCCUAUAUUUAACUUGUGUCUAGUAGAAAUUCUUCCUUCAUUAAGUAUUUGGACUUGUCUGCAGAUUCAGAUUAGUAGAUAUGGGCCAUUUUGAACUAAUGCUCAUGAUUAGGUUUGUGUACAUGAGACAAUGGUGGAUUGGUGAAAAUUGCAAUGAAUGAUUUUGGAUGUGUAUUUUAUGGUUUUAUGAAUGGACAA